This 522-nucleotide ribosomal RNA is filed under the name uncultured bacterium. Its description in RNAcentral is "partial 16S ribosomal RNA". It matches the Rfam family "Bacterial small subunit ribosomal RNA", at positions 28 to 523 of the family's 1533-position model. The record is from RNAcentral.
GACGAACGCUGGCGGCGUGCCUAAUACAUGCAAGUCGAACGCAAAACUUUCACCGAAUGCUUGCAUUCACGAAAGUUUUGAGUGGCGAACGGGUUAGUAACACGUGGGUAACCUGCCCAGAAGAGGGGGAUAACACUUGGAAACAGGUGCUAAUACCGCAUAAUAACAAAAACCGCAUGGUUUUUGUUUGAAAGAUGGUUUUGCUAUCACUUCUGGAUGUACACGCGGCGUAUUAGCUAGUUGGUAAGGUAAAGGCUUACCAAGGCAAUGAUACGUAGCCGAACUGAGAGGUUGAUCGGCCACAUUGGGACUGAGACACGGCCCAAACUCCUACGGGAGGCAGCAGUAGGGAAUCUUCCACAAUGGACGAAAGUCUGAUGGAGCAACGCCGCGUGAGUGAAGAAGGUUUUCGGAUCGUAAAACUCUGUUGUUAGAGAAGAACGUGUGUGAGAGUAACUGCUCAUGCAGUGACGGUAUCUAACCAGAAAGCCACGGCUAACUACGUGCCAGCCGCCGCAGUAA